Non-coding RNA from Paramuricea clavata, 207 nucleotides. Lineage: Eukaryota; Metazoa; Cnidaria; Anthozoa; Malacalcyonacea; Plexauridae. The record is from the annotation of a GenBank genome assembly.
CAUUGACAUCACGUCUAGUAUUACACAACAAUAAAUUCAGACAAGCUUCAAGGUCAAACCUCUCGCCGAGUACCCGAGUUCUCAAUGGCGCCAGUUGCAUGGUUAGCGCGCUUAUCAACAAAGAGGUCGCGGGUUCUAUCCCCGCACGGGGACUCAGAAGUAUUUUCCGAGUAAUAAAGCUUGAGAACAACUUUUACUCAUUAUGUA